Molecule: ribosomal RNA, 254 nt
Filed under: uncultured bacterium
Lineage: Bacteria
Description: partial 16S ribosomal RNA
Rfam family: Bacterial small subunit ribosomal RNA
Source: RNAcentral
UACGAGAGGGGCGAGCAUUAUUCGGAAUGAUUUGGCGUAAAGGGUUCGUAGGUUGUUUUUCAAGUUGAAAAAAAAAAUUAAAGCUUAACUUUAUUGAUUUUUUCAAAACUAAAAAACUAGAGUAUAGUAUAGAGGAUAAUAGAAUUUUUAUUGGAGGGAUGAAAUCUGUUGAUAAUAAAAAGAAUUUCAAAAGCGAAGGCAAUUAUCUGGGUUUAUACUGACACUGAGGAACGAAAGUUUGGGUAGCGAACGGG